GGUCUACCUAACUAAAACCCCCACGCCUCUAUAUAGAGGAGGCAAGUCGUAACAUGGUAAGCGUACUGGAAAGUGCGCUUGGACGAAC
This 88-nucleotide ribosomal RNA is filed under the name Pongo abelii (Sumatran orangutan). Its description in RNAcentral is "partial 12S rRNA". The record is from RNAcentral. Lineage: Eukaryota; Metazoa; Chordata; Mammalia; Primates; Hominidae.